This is a non-coding RNA of Phrynosoma platyrhinos (Desert horned lizard), 75 nucleotides long. The record is from the annotation of a GenBank genome assembly. NCBI's taxonomy places the organism in Eukaryota, Metazoa, Chordata, Lepidosauria, Squamata, Phrynosomatidae.
GGCUAGCGUGGCAUAGUGGUUUGAGCACUGGACUACAACUGUCUGGAGGUCAGGGUUUGAUUCCCAGCUUGGCCA